UUAAGCGACUAAGCGUACACGGUGGAUGCCCUGGCAGUCAGAGGCGAUGAAGGACGUGCUAAUCUGCGAUAAGCGUCGGUAAGGUGAUAUGAACCGUUAUAACCGGCGAUUUCCGAAUGGGGAAACCCAGUGUGUUUCGACACACUAUCAUUAACUGAAUCCAUAGGUUAAUGAGGCGAACCGGGGGAACUGAAACAUCUAAGUACCCCGAGGAAAAGAAAUCAACCGAGAUUCCCCCAGUAGCGGCGAGCGAACGGGGAGGAGCCCAGAGCCUGAAUCAGUGUGUGUGUUAGUGGAAGCGUCUGGAAAGGCGCGCGAUACAGGGUGACAGCCCCGUACACAAAAAUGCACAUGCUGUGAGCUCGAUGAGUAGGGCGGGACACGUGGUAUCCUGUCUGAAUAUGGGGGGACCAUCCUCCAAGGCUAAAUACUCCUGACUGACCGAUAGUGAACCAGUACCGUGAGGGAAAGGCGAAAAGAACCCCGGACGAGGGGAGUGAAAAAGAACCUGAAACCGUGUACGUACAAGCAGUGGGAGCCUCUUUUAUGGGGUGACUGCGUACCUUUUGUAUAAUGGGUCAGCGACUUAUAUUCUGUAGCAAGGUUAACCGAAUAGGGGAGCCGAAGGGAAACCGAGUCUUAACUGGGCGUUAAGUUGCAGGGUAUAGACCCGAAACCCGGUGAUCUAGCCAUGGGCAGGUUGAAGGUUGGGUAACACUAACUGGAGGACCGAACCGACUAAUGUUGAAAAAUUAGCGGAUGACUUGUGGCUGGGGGUGAAAGGCCAAUCAAACCGGGAGAUAGCUGGUUCUCCCCGAAAGCUAUUUAGGUAGCGCCUCGUGAAUUCAUCUCCGGGGGUAGAGCACUGUUUCGGCAAGGGGGUCAUCCCGACUUACCAACCCGAUGCAAACUGCGAAUACCGGAGAAUGUUAUCACGGGAGACACACGGCGGGUGCUAACGUCCGUCGUGAAGAGGGAAACAACCCAGACCGCCAGCUAAGGUCCCAAAGUCAUGGUUAAGUGGGAAACGAUGUGGGAAGGCCCAGACAGCCAGGAUGUUGGCUUAGAAGCAGCCAUCAUUUAAAGAAAGCGUAAUAGCUCACUGGUCGAGUCGGCCUGCGCGGAAGAUGUAACGGGGCUAAACCAUGCACCGAAGCUGCGGCAGCGACACUGUGUGUUGUUGGGUAGGGGAGCGUUCUGUAAGCCUGUGAAGGUGUACUGUGAGGUAUGCUGGAGGUAUCAGAAGUGCGAAUGCUGACAUAAGUAACGAUAAAGCGGGUGAAAAGCCCGCUCGCCGGAAGACCAAGGGUUCCUGUCCAACGUUAAUCGGGGCAGGGUGAGUCGACCCCUAAGGCGAGGCCGAAAGGCGUAGUCGAUGGGAAACAGGUUAAUAUUCCUGUACUUGGUGUUACUGCGAAGGGGGGACGGAGAAGGCUAUGUUGGCCGGGCGACGGUUGUCCCGGUUUAAGCGUGUAGGCUGGUUUUCCAGGCAAAUCCGGAAAAUCAAGGCUGAGGCGUGAUGACGAGGCACUACGGUGCUGAAGCAACAAAUGCCCUGCUUCCAGGAAAAGCCUCUAAGCAUCAGGUAACAUCAAAUCGUACCCCAAACCGACACAGGUGGUCAGGUAGAGAAUACCAAGGCGCUUGAGAGAACUCGGGUGAAGGAACUAGGCAAAAUGGUGCCGUAACUUCGGGAGAAGGCACGCUGAUAUGUAGGUGAAGUCCCUCGCGGAUGGAGCUGAAAUCAGUCGAAGAUACCAGCUGGCUGCAACUGUUUAUUAAAAACACAGCACUGUGCAAACACGAAAGUGGACGUAUACGGUGUGACGCCUGCCCGGUGCCGGAAGGUUAAUUGAUGGGGUCAGCGCAAGCGAAGCUCUUGAUCGAAGCCCCGGUAAACGGCGGCCGUAACUAUAACGGUCCUAAGGUAGCGAAAUUCCUUGUCGGGUAAGUUCCGACCUGCACGAAUGGCGUAAUGAUGGCCAGGCUGUCUCCACCCGAGACUCAGUGAAAUUGAACUCGCUGUGAAGAUGCAGUGUACCCGCGGCAAGACGGAAAGACCCCGUGAACCUUUACUAUAGCUUGACACUGAACAUUGAGCCUUGAUGUGUAGGAUAGGUGGGAGGCUUUGAAGUGUGGACGCCAGUCUGCAUGGAGCCGACCUUGAAAUACCACCCUUUAAUGUUUGAUGUUCUAACGUGGACCCGUGAUCCGGGUUGCGGACAGUGUCUGGUGGGUAGUUUGACUGGGGCGGUCUCCUCCUAAAGAGUAACGGAGGAGCACGAAGGUUGGCUAAUCCUGGUCGGACAUCAGGAGGUUAGUGCAAUGGCAUAAGCCAGCUUGACUGCGAGCGUGACGGCGCGAGCAGGUGCGAAAGCAGGUCAUAGUGAUCCGGUGGUUCUGAAUGGAAGGGCCAUCGCUCAACGGAUAAAAGGUACUCCGGGGAUAACAGGCUGAUACCGCCCAAGAGUUCAUAUCGACGGCGGUGUUUGGCACCUCGAUGUCGGCUCAUCACAUCCUGGGGCUGAAGUAGGUCCCAAGGGUAUGGCUGUUCGCCAUUUAAAGUGGUACGCGAGCUGGGUUUAGAACGUCGUGAGACAGUUCGGUCCCUAUCUGCCGUGGGCGCUGGAGAACUGAGGGGGGCUGCUCCUAGUACGAGAGGACCGGAGUGGACGCAUCACUGGUGUUCGGGUUGUCAUGCCAAUGGCACUGCCCGGUAGCUAAAUGCGGAAGAGAUAAGUGCUGAAAGCAUCUAAGCACGAAACUUGCCCCGAGAUGAGUUCUCCCUGACCCUUUAAGGGUCCUGAAGGAACGUUGAAGACGACGACGUUGAUAGGCCGGGUGUGUAAGCGCAGCGAUGCGUUGAGCUAACCGGUACUAAUGAACCGUGAGGCUUAACCUU
Molecule: ribosomal RNA, 2902 nt
Filed under: Escherichia coli DEC5B
Lineage: Bacteria; Pseudomonadati; Pseudomonadota; Gammaproteobacteria; Enterobacterales; Enterobacteriaceae
Description: bacterial LSU rRNA
Rfam family: Bacterial large subunit ribosomal RNA
Source: RNAcentral